Picea glauca (white spruce) is the source of this 285-nucleotide non-coding RNA. The record is from Rfam. Lineage: Eukaryota; Viridiplantae; Streptophyta; Pinopsida; Pinales; Pinaceae.
CGACCCCAGCUCAAGCGAGAACACCCGCUGAGUUUAAGCAUAUAAUUAAGCGGAGGAAAAAAAACUUACAAGGAUUCCCCUAGUAACGGCGAGCGAACCGGGAAGAGCCCAACAUGAAAAUCGGGUGGCAGCAUCGCCUGAAUUGUAGUCUGUAUAAGCGUCCUUAGCGGCAGAUCGGGCCCAAGAACCCUGGAAGGGGGCACCUGAGAGGGUGAUAGCCCCGUCAGGCUGGGACCCUGCCACACCACGAGGUGUUGUCGGUUAGUCGGGUUGUUUGGGAAUGCA